This is a long non-coding RNA of Homo sapiens (human), 1041 nucleotides long. Lineage: Eukaryota; Metazoa; Chordata; Mammalia; Primates; Hominidae. The record is from Ensembl.
AUGAUUGUAGGUUCCAUUACCCUUAAAGUCUUGACCUUCUCUUUCCUUGGCUGCUCAGGUCAUAGGUGCUGCAAUCUAGAGACAAAAUAUUCCUUACACUGCCAGAUACUUGCAAACUAAGGGGAACGAGCUUCCCUCUGAAUGUUUAUGAAGGAGAGACCACUGUGAGGAUAGACAGUGAAGUGCAACUACAGCCCGCAAAUGAAAAUGAAUAAAAUUAAUCCAGCCCCUCAAGGCAGUCAUCUGUCUUAGAGCUAUUGGAAUCCUGGAUCAUUGUGGGAAAUGAAAAGAACUGGUUUUUAGCAAGGAGACCAAGAAACUCUACUCCCUAGGGGCUAGCAAUGAGAGAAAGGAAGCCUUGAGUCUUUGAGCACAGGGUGACAGUUUGGGUCCUAUGUGAGAUGAUCAAAUCCACAGCAACAGAGGAAAGGACAAAAGGAAAAGAUACUUCGAUGGAAUCAGCAGCCAUUGAUCCAAUGCCAACUCCAAGACUGGAACGUCGCAAUGAUAGUUCCAAGGCGGAAAUUUGACGUAAUUCUUUUCGACACAGUUUUACAGGUGUGACACCAUGAAGUCGUCCCACAUUUCCCACAACCUGAAUUUGGGAUGACAGUCGACUGAGAUUUUGUAAACUGAUUAUCAUCUGUUUCUGUUUUAUUCUCAUUACCUAACAUAUGCCCACUGGGGGGUGCUAAAGAACUAUGAAUUGGAGGUAAUUCUGGGAUAUCUUCCCAGAGCUUUUGAGGAUUUGGCUGUGUUCUUAAGCUGCUUGCUGAACUGUCCAUUUCUCUUUCUCUUCCACUUAAUUUCAUACUUUCAGGUCUGGAUGCCCAUUUUAAUUCUUCUGAAAGCAUGCCUCCUUCUGGCUUCAGGACUCCAUCUCCAGCCUUAUGAUCUAAAAAUAAUCCCCAAACCAAAAAAUUAGAUAUUAUUUCCUCAAAAUUAGGUGUUUUAAUCAAAACAUCUUAACAUAAAUACAUUAUUAUCACCCAAUAUGCAUAAUGUUGUUCAACUUUUUUGUUAAAUGACUUAUUUUAGAUG